AUGGGAAGGGCUUGGGGGGCACUCAAGGGCAGGAGGACACCACCGUGGGGACCGCCUCCAGGAACGCUGGCUGCGGGCGGCAGCUGGUUGUUGGCGGGCGCAGGCGAGAGAGGGGGAACGCUGCCGCGAGAGCUGUUUCCAAGAGCACCGGCUGCAGGCAGCAUCUUGCUGGUGGCUGAGGCGGGCGGCCGGGGGGAAACAACUCCCUGGUUGCUGGUAGGGGCAGGUCAGAGCGGAGGAACGCCAUCCUUGGAGUUGGACCCCGUCACCGUCUUGUUCGGAGCUGAGGAGGGCGGCCGCUGGGGAACGACACCCCGAUUGCUGGCAGGGGUGCCGGACGGGGACAUGCUGGCUGAGGCGGGCGGCUGCAAGGGAACGCCUCCCUGGCCUCCAAGAGCGCUGGCGGCAGGCAGCGGAUUGACGAUUUGGGGGUGGGGCCAGACGGUGGAGCGCGAGGCGGCCGGUUGCUGCCUGCGGCGGGUUCUGGACGGCGGUGGGGGCGGGCGGCGGCGGGUUCGGGACGGCGGUGGGGGCGUACGGGGUCGUGCGAGCCUGAUAGACCAUGUGGCCGCGGCCGCGGCCGCUGCCGCGACUGCGAUUCAUGAUGGAAACCUAGAUCUCUCUCUUUCGUCGGCGUGGCUGGUAUAG
RNAcentral lists this ribosomal RNA (648 nucleotides) under Triticum aestivum (bread wheat). Its description in RNAcentral is "partial small subunit ribosomal RNA". Lineage: Eukaryota; Viridiplantae; Streptophyta; Magnoliopsida; Poales; Poaceae. The record is from RNAcentral.